GACAGAGGGUGCAAACGUUGUUCGGAAUUACUGGGCGUAAAGCGCGUGUAGGCGGCUGUGCAAGUCGGAUGUGAAAUCCCGUGGCUCAACCACGGAAGUGCACCCGAAACUGCGCAGCUGGAGUCUCGGAGAGGAAGGUGGAAUGCUUGGUGUAGAGGUGAAAUUCGUAGAUAUCAAGCGGAACACCGGUGGCGAAGGCGGCCUUCUGGACGGAUACUGACGCUGAGGCGCGAAAGCCAGGGGAGCAAACGGG
RNAcentral lists this ribosomal RNA (253 nucleotides) under uncultured bacterium. Its description in RNAcentral is "partial 16S ribosomal RNA". It matches the Rfam family "Bacterial small subunit ribosomal RNA", at positions 524 to 776 of the family's 1533-position model. The record is from RNAcentral.